AUGGGGGCGAAGUUCCCGGUAAAGGAUGGCUGCUCAGCGCGUUUUUGGACGGACCUAUGGAUUGGUGACCAACCUCUUUGGUCCCGUUUCAGACAGCUGUUUAACAUUGCGCUUGAACCUCACAUUUUUGUGGCGCAAGCUUUGGCCGAGCCCCCUCCUGCGCUGCAGUUUCGGCGGGAACUCACUGGCCCGGAGACGGCAAGUUUGGGAAACUUGCUGACUCUUCUGGAGGGCGUUGCCCUUUCGCAAGGCCCGGACGUGGUGUCUUGGCGCCUCAAUGCCUCCGGCAAGUUCUCAGUAAACUCCCUUUACCGAGCUCUCCCUAGGGGUACCCAGCAGCAAGUUGCGGCCGGGCUUUGGAAGGCUAGGCUGCCUCUGAAAAUCAAGAUUUUCUUUUGGCAAUUGUGUCGUGACAAGCUCCCCACAUCGGUAAAUAUUGCCAAACGCAACGGACCGUCUAACGGGUCUUGCGCGGUAUGUGGUGAGCCCGAAACUGCUAACCACGUGUUCUUCCAAUGCCACUUGGCCCGGUUUGCAUGGAGUGUGGUCCGAGAGGCCGCUGGCCGGGAUUGGGAUCCUAGGUCAUGUUCUGAGAUGUGUGCUUUGCUGUCGUCAGUAUCUGGUUCCGCCAGACGUGUCAUGUGGUGCUGUGUGGGGGCAUUACUUUGGGCACUUUGGCACAUUAGGAACAAACUUACGAUCGAGGGAGUGUUUCCCUCACACCCGGCUGAUGUUAUCUUCAAAUGUGUCAUCUUUUUGCAGCAGUGGGCACCGCUGGGAAGGCGCCAAGACGCUGAUCUGUUGUAG
RNAcentral lists this ribosomal RNA (807 nucleotides) under Triticum aestivum (bread wheat). RNAcentral describes it as "partial small subunit ribosomal RNA". Lineage: Eukaryota; Viridiplantae; Streptophyta; Magnoliopsida; Poales; Poaceae. The record is from RNAcentral.